CAGCAGCCGCGGUAAUACGUAGGGUGCGAGCGUUAAUCGGAUUUACUGGGCGUAAAGCGUGCGCAGGCGGCCCGUUAAGACAGGUGUGAAAUCCCUGGGCUCAACCUAGGAAUUGCGCUUGUGACUGGCGGGCUCGAGUACGGUAGAGGGGGGUGGAAUUCCUGGUGUAGCAGUGAAAUGCGUAGAGAUCAGGAGGAACACCGAUGGCGAAGGCAGCCCCCUGGGCCUGUACUGACGCUCAUGCACGAAAGCGUGGGGAGCAAACAGGAUUAGAUACCCUGGUAGUCCACGCCCUAAACGAUGGGUACUAGCCGUUUGGUGCGCGAUAGCGCUGAGUGGCGAAGCUAACGCGUGAAGUACCCCGCCUGGGGAGUACGGCCGCAAGGUUGAAACUUAAAGGAAUUUGGCGGG
RNAcentral lists this ribosomal RNA (411 nucleotides) under uncultured microorganism. Its description in RNAcentral is "bacterial SSU rRNA". It matches the Rfam family "Bacterial small subunit ribosomal RNA", at positions 509 to 917 of the family's 1533-position model. The record is from RNAcentral.